This 1366-nucleotide long non-coding RNA is filed under the name Nicotiana tabacum (common tobacco). Its description in RNAcentral is "long non-coding RNA (NTAB_LNC009806)". The record is from RNAcentral. Lineage: Eukaryota; Viridiplantae; Streptophyta; Magnoliopsida; Solanales; Solanaceae.
GAUCUUGAACACAUUUGUCCACAUCAUCAGAUAAUUUUGAAGCCCUUAAGUAAACACGUGUAAUUUAGAUCUUAGGGUAUAUGACGUGCAUCGAAGGCAUGAAGCAUUUCCUUGCAGAACAAAGGGCUGCACUUCCUUCUAACAAAACAUGGAAAACAAAAAGAAAAAUAACAACAGAUUAGUGUUUGUAAGACAAAGAAAAAGGGACUCAAUAAAUCUCACAAGAAAAAAAAAACUUAAGUUUUUGUUUUCUAGGACAACUACAGAGCAAACAACUACUUGUAUUUUAAUUGGAGAGAUCUUUUUAGCCAAGGACAAUCCGCCUCGAAAAAACUUUUUGAUGAGGCAAAAAUACAUCUUCUUUGGCACUCUUAAUUAACAUAGACACUAGGAGCUCGUUUUUUAACAACAAAUUAUCACUCUUAGUUAGUCUAAAUAAAAGCAUGUUCAUAAAAAGGAGGAAAAUGAAUUAUAUCACUCUUAGUUAGUCUAAAUAAAAGCAUGUUCAUAAAAAGGAGAAAAAUGAUUUAGUAAAAUGAAACAUUUAAUAUUUGCAGCUCCAUAUGCAAGUAGUUAAGAAAUAGUUUUGAAGCAUAUUAAGAACCAAGCAAUUGAAUCCGAAGACCUUCUAAAAGAUGAUGGUAGCCCCAACAUCAAGUCCAUUUAAAGGUAUGCAAUAUUUUAUCAAGUUUAGAGGCGAAUCUACAAGGUUAGGGGCAAGUUAAAAUUGAACCUAUCAGUUUUGACAUAUACUAUCUACAUGUGAAAAUUUCUGAAAAGUAGUAUAAAUACUACUCCCUCCGUUUCAAUUUAUAUGAGGUAGUUUGACUAAAGAAAGAAAGAAAAAAGACUUUUGAAACUUGUGGUCUUAAAAGCUUAAGGGGUAAAAACUUUGUGGGGCCAUAAUAAUUGUGUGGUUAUAAAAGCUUCUCAUUAAGGGUAAAAUGAGUAAAAUGAAGAGUUUACAGUUGAAUUAUUUCCAAUUAUAGAAAUGUGUCAUUCUUUUUGGAACGGACUAAUAAGGAAAGUGUGUCAUCUAAACUGAAAUAGAGAAAGUAACUAUUAAGUUUUGAACCCAUAUUUUCAAAGAACUCAGAAUCCUGAUCCACACAUCUCAGCUCAAGUCUGUCCCAAAAGAGAAAUUCCAAAGCUCCUUAGGAUCAAUAUCUCACUAAUCGUUAUCAUCUAAUUGUGUUACAGGCUCUUCCGUAAGUUAGAUGGUGAUCACAACAGUUAUUUAACACCGUCAGAACUGGAGAAGCUAAUGGAAAAUAACAAAUUCAGAGAGGCAAACCUGGAUCACAAAACCUCUGUCAUGGAAAUCAUGAAGGAUUUCGAUCAAGAUAAAGAUGACAUGAUCAACGAA